GGAUUUGGCUUAGUGAUAGAGUGCUUGCCUAGCAUGCAAAAGGCCCUGAGUUUAAUCCCCAGUACCA
Molecule: transfer RNA, 67 nt
Filed under: Marmota monax (woodchuck)
Lineage: Eukaryota; Metazoa; Chordata; Mammalia; Rodentia; Sciuridae
Description: tRNA.Ala
Source: RNAcentral